GGAUGUGGAAGCAGUAGGCAUUUACACACAGUGAGUGGUGGCAUAUUUACAGUAGAUAGGACUUUCUAUUAUGUAGACAUAGGCACACCUACUACACACACACACACACACACACACACACACACACACACACA
Molecule: long non-coding RNA, 134 nt
Organism: Sander lucioperca (pikeperch)
Lineage: Eukaryota; Metazoa; Chordata; Actinopteri; Perciformes; Percidae
Exons: 2
Source: RefSeq, a predicted model, not a curated record